Molecule: long non-coding RNA, 1083 nt
Organism: Astatotilapia calliptera (eastern happy)
Lineage: Eukaryota; Metazoa; Chordata; Actinopteri; Cichliformes; Cichlidae
Source: Ensembl
GGUGGCGUCUGUAAGGACUGGAGUGUAGAGAGACGAAAGAAGGACGAUAAAGGAUCGCAGCAGGAGUUUGAAGCUGUUAGGAAAAGUGGGUUAAUCACCAGCCUACAAAGGAAUCAGUUUAGUAAUCCAGUUUGUGCUGGACUAGUUAGCUUAGCAUUUCAUUCAAACUUAACCUGGCUAAUCCUCAGCACACUACAAACUUACUUUGGUUCCUUAAGUGUUGCUCAUGCAUUUCUUAUUGAAGAAAUCUUCGACUGUAUAAGUAAUUUUAGACCGUAUUGUUCUGAACAUGUGUAAAGACCUAGAGAUACACAAACUGAAAGGACUCAUGCAAAUUACUUACAGUUUAUAUGUCAGCCUUUAAAGGCCAUACAGGAGGAAUUGUCCUUUUCUUUACAAAUGCAGGGGGGAUGGUGCGGUUGGGCUUGCAAUAAAUUGCUGGAACACAGCCUGAUUUUUUUCUUUGUUUGUUUUUUUUUAACACAAUGCAGUUAGACUUUUUGAACAUAAUGUACAGGAUAAAAUAAGAUCUACUUACGAUCAUAUUAGGAAUUUUUCCCACCAUGCCACCUAUAGGAGUAGGAAUAACGAAUAACGCCCUUGCUUUCUUCCUGUGUUUGUCAGUAUGAGCAUAUUGGACCGUAACUGAAAAGCAAAAUACAAUAAAAGGUCACUGAUUCUUAUCUGACAAAAGGUAGGACUGUAGAUAAACAGAGAAGGUUAAAAAUGUAUAAUAAUCUGGUGUUUAAUGUCAUCAUAAGGCCUGACAUUUACUCCUUGACUCCUGGAUUUCUUUGCCUAUAUUGGCCAGCUGCUGCCUGAUUUUAAAGCACGUGACGGUGUGGUGAUUCAUCCAGAUAGAUCUUACCCGACAACUUAAUACUUAAUAUACUACAAUAUAUACUUAUAGAUGCUAUUAAAAUCAGUGAUUUACAUACAAAUUCUUAUCUAAUCUGCAGUGUGCACAUAUGAAAAUGCUUACUCUCCACUACAUCAGGCAAAGCCCUGUAGUGUUGGAACUGGUAGAAAGACUUGCAUGCACUCUGAGUUGAUCUCCUCCACAUGCAGCAGGUUGAGCACCAU